This 399-nucleotide ribosomal RNA is filed under the name uncultured bacterium. Its description in RNAcentral is "partial 16S ribosomal RNA". It matches the Rfam family "Bacterial small subunit ribosomal RNA", at positions 355 to 771 of the family's 1533-position model. The record is from RNAcentral.
UGGGGAAUAUUGGACAAUGGGGGCAACCCUGAUCCAGCAAUGCCGCGUGUGUGAAGAAGGUUUUCGGAUUGUAAAGCACUUUCGACGGGGACGAUGAUGACGGUACCCGUAGAAGAAGCCCCGGCUAACUUCGUGCCAGCAGCCGCGGUAAUACGAAGGGGGCUAGCGUUGCUCGGAAUGACUGGGCGUAAAGGGCGUGUAGGCGGUUUGUACAGUCAGAUGUGAAAUCCCCGGGCUUAACCUGGGAGCUGCAUUUGAUACGUGCAGACUAGAGUGUGAGAGAGGGUUGUGGAAUUCCCAGUGUAGAGGUGAAAUUCGUAGAUAUUGGGAAGAACACCGGUGGCGAAGGCGGCAACCUGGCUCAUAACUGACGCUGAGGCGCGAAAGCGUGGGGAGCAA